This is a long non-coding RNA of Cajanus cajan (pigeon pea), 645 nucleotides long. RefSeq lists it as uncharacterized. The record is from RefSeq and is a predicted model, not a curated record. NCBI's taxonomy places the organism in Eukaryota, Viridiplantae, Streptophyta, Magnoliopsida, Fabales, Fabaceae.
ACGUCCCUCCCCACCAUGUAUCAGAAGCAUUUAAUGUCACAUAAUGGUAGCUAGCUAGCUUUUUUAAAAGGGUCAUUAGCUCCUUCUUCUGCUGUUGUGCUCUUGUUUUUUAGUGUGGAAGAAUCUGUAAAGCUCAGGAGGGAUAGCGCCAUGGAUGGUCUUCUUCUCUCCCUCCAUUCUUGAUCCUCUCUCGCGCUAUCCAUCCUGAGUUUCAUGGCUUCUAUCCACACACACACUCACACAAUCUCAUCCACUUUUCAGGACAAAAGGCAACACCCCAAAAACAAUUUGUUCCUCUUAAUCACCAUGCACUACUCAAGUGGAAGGGUGCCCAAAUGAUGAAGCAAGUUGAAGAAAUUGUACAAGUCAAGUGUGUUAAGCCUUGUGUUAAUUAUCUAGUAUCUUUCUUCUAGCUAUCUACUUCAAAGUUUUCUCCUUUUAAUGUGUAUUUUAAAUAGUUGACAACCUAAAUUUUGGUGCCUCUUUAUGUCAAACACCAACCAUAUAUAUAAGUUCAGGUAAUAAGCAAACACGUAAGAUCAAAAGAAUGGUUCUCUUUAUAAACCUUCAACUCUUUGCUAACUAGCUUCUCCUUCCACCUUGUAAUCAUGAUUCAUAAUACAACGGGGUUUGGAUUUCCUUUUU